Non-coding RNA from Serratia proteamaculans 568, 156 nucleotides. The record is from Rfam. NCBI's taxonomy places the organism in Bacteria, Pseudomonadati, Pseudomonadota, Gammaproteobacteria, Enterobacterales, Yersiniaceae.
CGUUGUCUUCGGACAACCAGCCAAUGCUUCAGCACUCUGUGAGAAGUGCCUUCGGGUGAGUGCCAACCAAAGUUUCAGCAGUCUGUGAGAAACGCCUUCGGGUGACUGCCAAUAGCCUUGUAGCCUGAAAGAGGAAGCCCAUGUGGCGGUAACUCC